RNAcentral lists this ribosomal RNA (217 nucleotides) under Clostridioides difficile. RNAcentral describes it as "partial 16S ribosomal RNA". It matches the Rfam family "Bacterial small subunit ribosomal RNA", at positions 1019 to 1237 of the family's 1533-position model. The record is from RNAcentral. Lineage: Bacteria; Bacillati; Bacillota; Clostridia; Peptostreptococcales; Peptostreptococcaceae.
UCGGGGACAUUGGUGACAGGUGGUGCAUGGUUGUCGUCAGCUCGUGUCGUGAGAUGUUGGGUUAAGUCCCGCAACGAGCGCACCCCUUGUCUUUAGUUGCCAUCAUUAAGUUGGGCCCUCUAGAGAGACUGCCAGGGAUAACCUGGAGGAAGGUGGGGAUGACGUCAAAUCAUCAUGCCCCUUAUGCUUAGGGCUACACACGUGCUACAAUGGGUAG